AUUGAACGCUGGCGGCAGGCCUAACACAUGCAAGUCGAACGAGUGGCGGACGGGUGAGUAAUGUCUGGGAAACUGCCUGAUGGAGGGGGAUAACUACUGGAAACGGUAGCUAAUACCGCAUACCAUCAGAUGUGCCCAGAUGGGUUUGGCUUGUUGGGGGGGUAACGGCUCACCAAGGCGACGAUCCCUAGCUGGUCUGUGAGGAUGACCAGUCAAACUGGAACUGAGACACGGGCCAGACUCCUACGGGAGGCAGCAGUGGGGAAUAUUGCACAAUGGGCUCAGGUCUGAUGCAGCCAUGCCGCGUGUAUGAAGAGGGCCUGCGGGCUGGAAAGUACUUUCAGCGUGGAGGCGUUACCCGCAGAAGAAGCACCGGCUAACUCCGUGCCAGCAGCCGCGGUAAGAC
Molecule: ribosomal RNA, 406 nt
Filed under: uncultured bacterium
Lineage: Bacteria
Description: partial 16S ribosomal RNA
Rfam family: Bacterial small subunit ribosomal RNA
Source: RNAcentral